Molecule: transfer RNA, 89 nt
Filed under: Candidatus Omnitrophota bacterium
Lineage: Bacteria; Pseudomonadati; Candidatus Omnitrophota
Description: Candidatus Omnitrophica bacterium tRNA-Ser
Rfam family: tRNA
About the family: Transfer RNA (tRNA) molecules are approximately 80 nucleotides in length.
Source: RNAcentral
GGAGAGGUGCCAGAGCCCGGUUGAUUGGGCCGGUCUCGAAAACCGGUAGGCCCGUAAGGGUCUCGAGGGUUCGAAUCCCUCCCUCUCCG